AAUUCAAGUUAGCCAACACAUUGCCAAUACUACUACUAUCGUAUUACCAACACCACAACAAAAACCAGUUACAAUAAAAAGAAUUAUACGGCAACUUCAUCUACAACUUACCAUACUGUCAACGAAACAUCGAAAAUGUGGGAAAAGUGUACAAAUAGUUAUCACAUUUUAUGGCGUGUAUUAUAACGAUUAAAUCAUGCAAUCAUGUGGCCGAUGAGAUACGAAAACAUGACUCGCGAUGAAUGUAGAAAAUGUUUACGAUGUUUAGAGUUAGAAGCUUAUGGAAAUAUGGUGUCUGUCUUACGUGCUCAAGGUCCAUUUACUAGUGAAAAACAAAAGUUGCUACAAGAACUUGCUAAAGUUUUACAUAUUUCUAAUGAGCGACAUCGUGCUGAAGUACGAAGAGCUGUUAAUGAUGAAAAAUUAGCAACAAUAGCUGAACAAUUAAGUGGUCCAAAUACUGGUACUGAUUGGACUAUUGAAGGUCGUCGUGCUAUUCCACUUUUGCCAAGAUUAAAGGCUCGAUCUGCAUUCACAACAUUAGCAAAUAGUUUAUCCCUUGCAACAGUAGCAGCAAACAAAAGGAAUCUUCCUCUUCACGAGAAAACAGAGGAUGCAAAAGAUAUUAGAAAUGAAUCUCCCUUGAAGAUUAAAGUACAAGAAAACUCUUUUAAUAAUCAUGAGAUUGCAUCUAAUAAAGAUAAGUUAAGUGAUGAAAAUGUUUUAACUGAGGUUACUGAAUCAGAUAGGAAUAAAGAAAUUAAUAAUCAAAGCAAUACUUCUGAUGGCAGUGAAAAAUAUAUUGUUUCUGAAAAACGUAAACCUUCUUCUCCUCUUUCACCAACACUUCCAAAUAAGGUUUUGGUAGUAUCUUCAAGUUCAAUAGGAGCAAUUAAUCAUGGUACUACUGAUAAAGGAUCAUUUGAAAAUACUAUUCAUUUAUCACGAAUGCCUACAAAUUCAUUGCAGCAUCAAAAUGUCACUAUAAUACCAUUAAAUAUUAAUUGUGGAGAAAGUGAUUCGGAAUCUAAGGAAUUAGCAGUGCAAGACAGUGAGAGUAAUCAUUCGAUAAUUUCAUCUAGUAAUUUUAUGAAUACAGUAAUUCCAAUAGGUACAACAAAUAUUACAAAAGCUAAAGGAAGAAUUAUUACAACACAAAACAAACUUAAUACAAAAAUUGGACCAGCAAUUUUAGUGUCUGGCAAUGUAUCAUGUGCAUCUGGAAAUAAUUUUCAAUCUGAUAUACAAGAUACAUCUAUACAAGAUAAUUUAAGUCCUAAAACAUCGUCCAUAUCUCAUAAUUUACAAAAAGCAUCAUGUUCAGAAAAUUCAAAUUCAAUUACAAGCAACACAAAACGUAUUGUGCCAGUAAUACAUUCUAAUGUAAAAUCUCCAAUAACUAAAACUAUUACUUCAAAUAAUUCACAUCGACUGAUGACUGUUUGUCCUGUUACAACAGUUUCUAAUGGACCAGGACCACCUCAAGCUAAGCAGAUAACAACGUUAACUUGUAAAAAAUUACCUACAACGCUCAAUAAUCAAAGCACUGCCAAGAUGGGUGUUACAUUAAAUUCUAAUAAAACUGUAAAUAUAUCUCACCAUCCUGAUACAAAGUUAGGAUCUAAGACAAAUGUGAUUGUUAUACAAAAGGGUCAAACCAAAGGUGUAACUCUUUCUCAAGCAGGCAAGGAAGUAUUAGGAAAAGUAAUAAUGGGUGGAAAAAGUUUGUGUGUCACGAGUCAACAUAACACCUCCAUUAAUGUAGUACCACGCCAUGUUACGUUGAAUAAUGGAGAUCAAGGUUUAACUGUAUUAUCCACAACAAACUCGUCUCAUACAGAAUCUAUAACACCCAAUAUAAAGUCUGGUAAUACAAUUAUGUUCAAUCUUCGGCAGGAUGUUCUGGAAAAAAAUAAGGCACUCUCUCAUCUUCUUGAAUCAUCUAAUGUUCUUACCUCUGAAUCUAAGACUGUGAUACAAAAUACUAAUGCUCUUCUUUCAAAAGAACCAAGUAACAGUGAUUUACAUGUACAGGAUAAAGAGCUAGUUGUAAAAACCGAUGCUGUAAUUACUACUGUUAAAGAUGAGACACACAGGAAGUAAAAAUAUGUAUGCAAAUAUACAUUUUUAUUUAACGAAUUAUAUAUGGAGAUCCUAUGAAAUAUUCAAAAAAUAAACAAAUAUUUUCAAAUUCAAACUACAAUGUAAAUAUAUAAGCCAAAUCGAGCACGCAACGAAAUUUUGCACAUAUGAUAUACAUAUAUACGUUAAAUAGAAAAGUUUAUGAUUCUGACAUUUGCUCACGCUUUGUAUCAUUAACAUAAUGCAUGUAAGAUAUAAACAAAAUCUUUAAAGAUCUAAGUAGGAUAUUAAGUAAAUCUUAUAUAUAUAUAUAUAAUAUAUAUAUAUAUAUAUAUAUAA
This 2421-nucleotide unclassified non-coding RNA is filed under the name Apis florea (little honeybee). Its description in RNAcentral is "bRCA2-interacting transcriptional repressor EMSY, transcript variant X2". Lineage: Eukaryota; Metazoa; Arthropoda; Insecta; Hymenoptera; Apidae. The record is from RNAcentral.